Molecule: ribosomal RNA, 497 nt
Filed under: uncultured bacterium
Lineage: Bacteria
Description: partial 16S ribosomal RNA
Rfam family: Bacterial small subunit ribosomal RNA
Source: RNAcentral
GAUGAACGCUGGCGGCGUGCCUAAUACAUGCAAGUCGAGCGAACGGACGAGAAGCUUGCUUUUCUGAUGUUAGCGGCGGACGGGUGAGUAACACGUGGAUAACCUACCUAUAAGACUGGGAUAACUUCGGGAAACCGGAGCUAAUACCGGAUAAUAUUUUGAACCGCAUGGUUCAAAAGUGAAAGACGGUCUUGCUGUCACUUAUAGAUGGAUCCGCGCUGCAUUAGCUAGUUGGUAAGGUGACGGCUUACCAAGGCAACGAUGCAUAGCCGACCUGAGAGGGUGAUCGGCCACACUGGAACUGAGACACGGUCCAGACUCCUACGGGAGGCAGCAGUAGGGAAUCUUCCGCAAUGGGCGAAAGCCUGACGGAGCAACGCCGCGUGAGUGAUGAAGGUCUUCGGAUCGUAAAACUCUGUUAUUAGGGAAGAACAUAUGUGUAAGUAACUGUGCACAUCUUGACGGUACCUAAUCAGAAAGCCACGGCUAACUACGUG